UCUCCCGAUAUUUUAUUAUCGUAAAUAAUAAAUGAAUAAUAUUUAAGAUUCUCAAGUUAUAUGAAACACGUACGUUUUACGUAUAUUUCAAAUAAACCACUGUUUGAAGUAAUAAAUUUUUCAUAUCUGCUUAAUAUUCAAUAUAGUUCUAAGGAUGUAUUAUUGAUAUAUGAAGUCUCUCUAUUGAAGUCAUUCUAGAAAAUAUUCAGCUGUGAAUACGUACAGAAAGAUACACAUAAUUUUCAAGAGCUUGUCUUUAUGACCUCGAUGGAUCUUUCUUGAGCUUGGUCGCCUUUUGAGGAUGACACUGAAAAUAUAAUACCGACGACAACCAGUCUAACACGGAUCCUUUGUGGUCGUAGUGGGGUCGUAUUUCCCUGGUACAACGUUUAACCACUAGUCUUUUGGAUAGAAUGUCGAUAGACAGGAUAUGGAUCGAAUGACGACAAUUUUGUUAGUUAAAUUAAUCAAAGAGAAUAUAUACAUAAUUUGAAAUAAUUAAAUCUCCUCUCAAUUGAUUAAUGGGAGAUGAAAUAUCGUAAUAAUAUGGAACCAAAUAAUGGGGAAUAAUAUUACAAAAGAAGAUUGUAAUAAAAGAAAUUUUUCAGAGAGCCUUUACUAUUUGUAUCGUUGAAUUAAAAUUACACAGUUAAGUGUGUUUAUUUAGUAUUAGAUCAACAUCGUCAGUGGUUUAAACUUAAUUAUGGUUGGUCUGGUAUUAUAUCUAGUAAUAUUGAUAUAUAACGUAAUGACAUAACUCUGGAAUUAACUCUGGAAAUUACUCACGAGAGAGCAACUAACAAGUGACACUCCUGAGGGCAAUACUUCAAGUGUGUAUAAUAAUAAUUUUUAUUCUUCGAUAUAUAUGACAAUCUUAGUCAUGAUACCUACAACUUAAUCAUUAUACUUAAAAAAUAAUUUCUACGUCGAAGGAAAAUUCACAUGAAUAAUACCCUAAAAGAAAAUACUUGGACAUAGACGGAGGACAUUUUUUUCAAGAUUUUCUUAACGGGCGAAAAAAUUUAAACUAAACCCACAGCCACACCGAACGACAGCCGUCCUCGAAACGCUGCGCGCCUGGUCCUCUAAUUUUUCGUUUUAAUUCACAUCUAAUGGCAUCUUCUCCGCGCUCUCCAAUCCCAGCAAGUCGAGAGAGUGUGUCGUUGGCACUAUUUAUGCAAGCAACGGGAAUCUUUCUACUCUACCUCUUGGGUACAACUCGCAGCCGGCUACAAGGUUGAGUAUUCGAGAAACCACGUUUCGAAGUCGUUCUCGAGGACCUUUUUCAACAGAGGGAAGAGCGUAAGAUGUCAUUGGACGUGAUCUCGGGCAAACAUCACCCACGAGAUUUCCAUACUUAUUUUUUACACGAUGUCAUCGAAGAAAUACACGUUGUUCGAAGAUGACAGAUUUACGAUAACGAAGAUGUGACAAGUAGAUAUAAAUAAAUGCGUGAUAUUUCACUGUAGAGAUAUACUAGAAGCAGAAUUUAUAUAAUAUAAUCAAUAAUUAGCAAAAUUUCAUAUCAUUUCAUAUCAUAAGGUAUCUCACUUAACUUAAAUAUCUCAAUAUCUUUAUUUUUUACGAUAAAAAAAAAUUACACAGAAAAAUAUUAUUUCAUUUAUAGAGACAUAUAUUAUAAUACAUAAAGAUUUCUUUAAAUAUUGAAUAAAUUUAAGUUAG
Apis mellifera (honey bee) is the source of this 1683-nucleotide long non-coding RNA. RefSeq lists it as uncharacterized. NCBI's taxonomy places the organism in Eukaryota, Metazoa, Arthropoda, Insecta, Hymenoptera, Apidae. The transcript is spliced from 5 exons. The record is from RefSeq and is a predicted model, not a curated record.